This 702-nucleotide ribosomal RNA is filed under the name Triticum aestivum (bread wheat). Its description in RNAcentral is "partial small subunit ribosomal RNA". Lineage: Eukaryota; Viridiplantae; Streptophyta; Magnoliopsida; Poales; Poaceae. The record is from RNAcentral.
AUGAUUGCUGCUUCCCUUCCACCCCAUUUUUGGGCUAAGGUUGUUUCCGCAUCCACCUAUCUCGUCAACAUUCAGCCAUCGACCGCUCUGCAGGGUGGCAUUCCUAUGGAGUGUCUCACUGGUCGCUCCCCAGACUACUCAGCGCUUCGUAUGUUUGGAUGCGUCUGCUAUGUUCUUCUUGCUCCCCGAGAACGCACCAAACUGACAGCUCAGUCGGUUGAGUGUGUUUUCCUUGGCUACAGCGAUGAGCACAAGGGCUAUCGAUGUUGGGAUCCAGUGGGUCGUCGCUUGCGCAUCUCGCGUGAUGUGACUUUUGACGAGUCUCGCUCUUACUACCCACGUCCUUCUUCCUCGAGUUUCUUUGUGGAUGACCUUUCUUUCCUUCUCCUUCCCGAUACACUUUGCUAUGUACCUCAUGUGUCACCUCUUCCUCCGGCACCUCUCAUUCCUUCUCAUUCACCACCGACCCCGUCUUCCCCAUCCUCCUCCUCCACCUCUCCCCCAUCCUCUCUUGUCCGUCGCCCUCUCUCACCGUUUCCUUUCCACUAUACUCGUCGCUCUCGUCUUGAGGAUGUCUCCUCUGACGAGCCUUCCACCUCUGGUGCACCUCCUCUCACACCUCCCCUGGUUCACAACCUCCAUGCUAGGCCUCACCCCCGCCUGAUCGCUACUCCCCUGAUCCGUACGGUCUCUCUGUUAUGA